RNAcentral lists this ribosomal RNA (325 nucleotides) under uncultured Sandonidae. RNAcentral's name for it is "SSU rRNA". The stretch from base 115 to 325 matches the Rfam family "Eukaryotic small subunit ribosomal RNA", at positions 744 to 955 of the family's 1831-position model. The record is from RNAcentral. Lineage: Eukaryota; Cercozoa; Glissomonadida; Viridiraptoridae.
GAUUUCUGGCUUGAAACAUUUUGCCGGCCACGGUUUCGUGUGUUAGUGCUUGAUGUUCUGGCCAUCCUUCCAAUCGCUGCUUUACUUUUCUUCAUUGAUUAGUAGAUGUAGUAUUGGAUCUUUUACUUUGAAAAAAUUAGAGUGUUUCAAGCAGGCUUUAUGCUAUGAAUACAUUAGCAUGGAAUAAUAAUUUAGGACUUCGGUUCUAUUUUGUUGGUUUCUAGGACUGAAGUAAUGAUUGAUAGGGACAGUUGGGGGUGCUAGUAUUCAGCGGCCAGAGGUGAAAUUCUCGGAUUCGCUGAAGACUAACUUAUGCGAAAGCAUU